GUGUGUGUGUGUGUGUGUGUGUGUGUGUGUGUGUGUGUGUGUGUGUGUGUGUGUGUGUGUGUGUGUGUGUGUGUGUGUGUGUGUGUGUGUGUGUGUGUGUGUGCGCGCGCGUAUCUGCGUCACUGCCCUUCCCCCCAUGCUGUAUAAACUGUAAUGAAAGUGAAAGUCAGCAGCUCCAUUUUGUGACGAGGGAAAAGUAAAAGAUUUGAGGAGUAAAAACACAGGUUUAAUUUAACACACCGAUGUUGGAGUGAAGUAAACGUGUGUCCUGCUGUAAUCUGGAGAAGGAGACAUGACCUCCAACAUGAGUGGGUCUGGACAACAGGACUUGAAGAAAGACGAGAGAAUGAUGGAGGGAAAGAGAUCAGACUCACCAGAACCCAGCUGUGUGUCCAUGAAGAGUGACAACUCAAUGAUACGUCCAAUAUACUUCAGAGACAGAGACAGUCCUACUGAUGUGAGACCACAAAAAUCAAACAUCAGGAGAAAACAGCUGGACUCUAUAUUCAAGG
Long non-coding RNA from Tachysurus fulvidraco (yellow catfish), 512 nucleotides. RefSeq lists it as uncharacterized. The transcript is spliced from 4 exons. Lineage: Eukaryota; Metazoa; Chordata; Actinopteri; Siluriformes; Bagridae. The record is from RefSeq and is a predicted model, not a curated record.